GACGAACGUUGGCGGCGUGCUUAAUACAUGCAAGUCCACUGAAGCAGUGGUAGCAAUAUCGCUGUGGAGGUGGCGCACGGGUGAGUAACACGUAGGUAAUCUGCCUUCAGGUCUGGCAUAACUCCGGGAAACCGGGGCUAAUAGCAGAUGAUGCAGCGGCUCGACAUCGAGACAGUUGUUAAAGCUAUGGCGCCUGAAGAUGAGCCUGCGUCUGAUUAGCUAGUUGGCGGGGUAACGGCCCACCAAGGCAACGAUCAGUAGCUGGUCUGAGAGGAUGAUCAGCCACACUGGAACUGAGACACGGUCCAGACUCCUACGGGAGGCAGCAGUAAGGAAUAUUGCUCAAUGGGAGAAAUCCUGAAGCAGCAACGCCGCGUGAGGGACGAAGGGCUUUUGGUUGUAAACCUCUGUAGUGAGAGAAAAAAAUCCCAAUCUUUGGGACAUGAUGGUAUCUCAAAAGUAAGCCCCGGCUAACUACGUG
This 481-nucleotide ribosomal RNA is filed under the name uncultured bacterium. RNAcentral's name for it is "partial 16S ribosomal RNA". It matches the Rfam family "Bacterial small subunit ribosomal RNA", at positions 28 to 507 of the family's 1533-position model. The record is from RNAcentral.